UGGGGAAUUUUGGACAAUGGGCGCAAGCCUGAUCCAGCCAUGCCGCGUGCGGGAAGAAGGCCUUCGGGUUGUAAACCGCUUUUGUCAGGGAAGAAAUCUUCUGAGUUAAUACCUCGGGAGGAUGACGGUACCUGAAGAAUAAGCACCGGCUAACUACGUGCCAGCAGCCGCGGUAAUACGUAGGGUGCAAGCGUUAAUCGGAAUUACUGGGCGUAAAGCGUGCGCAGGCGGUUUUGUAAGACAGAGGUGAAAUCCCCGGGCUCAACCUGGGAACUGCCUUUGUGACUGCAAGGCUUGAGUGCGGCAGAGGGGGGAUGGAAUUCCGCGUGUAGCAGUGAAAUGCGUAGGUAUGCGGAGGAAACACCGAUGGCGAAGGCAAUCCCCUGGGCCUGCACUGACGCUCAUGCACGAAAGCGUGGGGAGCAAACAGGAUUAGAUAGCCCUGGUAGUCCACGCCCUAAAACGAUGUCAAACUGGUUGUUGGGAAGGUUCCUUCUCAGUAACGUAGCUAACGCGUGAA
RNAcentral lists this ribosomal RNA (520 nucleotides) under uncultured bacterium. Its description in RNAcentral is "partial 16S ribosomal RNA". It matches the Rfam family "Bacterial small subunit ribosomal RNA", at positions 355 to 863 of the family's 1533-position model. The record is from RNAcentral.